Molecule: long non-coding RNA, 690 nt
Filed under: Hordeum vulgare
Lineage: Eukaryota; Viridiplantae; Streptophyta; Magnoliopsida; Poales; Poaceae
Description: long non-coding RNA (HVUL_LNC017949)
Source: RNAcentral
CCCUUAAUCCUGCCAGAGUGUUUGAUGUAUAGGAACAGAGUACAAUGUCGCUCCUGGAGCUGUGUUGGGAGGAGGAAGAGGGGAGCAGCCGACUCGUCUCUACCUCUCUCUGUGUGUGGUUGGUGAAUGUGUGGUGUUGAAUGACCGGUGAAUGAUCGGCCCCUUGCAUGGAGGGCGACCGUGGGGGUUUAUAGACGAACCCGCCGGCCUACAAUAUGGAUAAAGGGUACAAGUGUGGGACCCGGCUGGCAGCUUCGCCGGCUGGCCAGGGGCCCACAAGGGUCUUGUCUUGUCGAUGGGGGGCCCGCCGGCUGCAUGGUCUCGAUUGCCUGUGGGACCCACCGGCUGGCCAAUGAGGCUCUUGCGUAAGGUUGACGCUGAGCACGCGAUGUACGUCAAGCGUCGCCUCGCGAGAUUCUUCAUGGGCGGGUAGUAUGACCGCUUCCACUGUUCCCCACGCCGAGUGCAGUAAUGGAGUGGGAGUGUGACGGUCCGACACUAUGCUAGGUGAUGGAUCAGAGCGGGGGUAGGUCAGCGGCAUGGCCGCCGACGCUCGUACCUGCCGGGCGCCCUGAUCCAGUACCUUUGCUGACGCGUAGCUACCUUUAAUCGUGAGGUCUCUUCCUGACCUACGAUCUGAUGUGACUUGUGAUCCUCGGCUGGCUAGCCUGCUUGGCCAGCCGGCUUAAG